Non-coding RNA from Drosophila virilis, 82 nucleotides. The record is from Rfam. Lineage: Eukaryota; Metazoa; Arthropoda; Insecta; Diptera; Drosophilidae.
AAUUUGAACUGAUGAUAUUUUCCAUGCACCACUCUUAUGCCUGUGUUGAGCAAUGUGCAGAUUAUGGAUAUGCUGACGCAUU